UGGGGAGUUCCCUGGCGGUCCCAGUGUUUAGGAAUUGGCAGUUUCAACUGUGGUGGCCCAGGUUUGACCGCUGGUCGGGGAACUAAGUCCCACAAGCCAUGCGGCACGGCCAAAAAAUAAAAUUAAUUAAAAUGGAGGUUGGUACAUGAGACAGGUGAUGGUGAGAUCCCUUUGACUGUUUUGGAGAACAAGCCUUACAUUUGUCCACAGGCUUAUCACCUUUUAGAGUUGCCGCCAUUUCAAAGAUCUAAGCUCCUCUGUAGCUCAACGAAUUGAGACGUGAUUUAGCCUCAUCAUUCAUUCUCUCCUGGGGCUGGGGCCCUUGUCCUCUAUUUCCAUUCCUAGGGUUCUUUCCCUUGAUCCAAUAAUGAUGUAUACAGCUUAAAAACAGUCCUGCUUAUAAGGAAGAAAAAAAAAAGUGGAAAUUUGCCAUGGAGUGGCUGUCCCAUAAUUGAAUUUCCAAACUCUGGGUGUGUGAGUAACUCACUACAACAAAUAUAUUUCUGAGCACUGGCACUGUUGUAGACACAGAAUAUGCUGGUGAACAAAACAUGCAAAGUAGUGGCCUUUUCACAGGAUGGAUUCAGGACAGAUGCUCCUCAGUAAAGCAUCAGAAAUAGAUUCUUCUUCAACUCGGAGUGCAGCUCUCUUCCACUUCUUGUGAAUUGCACGUCCUAUCAUGGCAGUCACGGCGUCUUUCCCAGUGAAAUCGUCCGUCUGGGUUCCCGAAUGGGCUGCCCAAGCCUGCCCUGAGGACCAGGUGCUGAACUCACCUUUCAGAGGUUGGCAUUCCAGGAAUCCCCGACAUAUGACGACAUGGCUAUGAAGUUCACGUGGGAGGAGUGGCAGCUCCUGGACCCCAAUCAGAAGGACCCGUACCCAGAUGUGAUGCUGGAGAACCAUAGCAACCUGGUAUCUUGUGGGGUGUCAAGCCUGCAGACCAGAUGCAUCCUCCAAGUUGGAACGAGGGGAAGAACCGUGGCCAAUAGAAGAUGAAAACCGCAGUUGAACCUGUUCAGCAUCUCUGCCUAUUUCUUCCACCUGCCUUGCUACAAGAUUCUACCUUCCUGCUCUUACUCCAAAGAUCUUUGAAGGGACCUUCCUUGUGGUGCAGUGGUUAAGAAUCCUCCUGCCAGUGCAGGGGACACGGGUUCGAGCCCUGGUCCAGGAAGAUCCCACAUGCCACAAAGCAACUAAGCCCGUGUGCCACAACUGCUGAGCCCACGGCCACAACUACUGACGCCCGUGCACCUAGAGCCCGUGCUCAGCAACAAGAGAAGGUACCACAAUGAAAGGCCUGUGCACCGCAAUGAAGAGUAGCCCCUGCUCGCCGCAACUAGAGAAAGCCUGCACACAGCAACGAAGACCCACUGCAGCCAAAAAUAAAUUAAUUAAUUUUUUUUAAAAAAAGAAAAGUGAUUUUUGAAUUCAGCAGUUUUCUAACUAGUGCAUCUUCCUGCUUCGUUGGGAAAUAGUGAUUUCCCUUCCUGACAUUUAACCCCACGUUAAAUGCUGUACCCACACCAUAACUUGAUCUCUGUGUGUUUAUAUGGUUUCUUAGCUUCUUGCUAUAGAUUAAGUGUUGGGGUCCCCCCAAUCAUGUGUUGAAACCCUAACCACAAGGUGAUGGUAUUAGGAGGUGGGCCCUUUGAGAGGUGAUUAGGUCAUGAGGACCCAGAGAGAGCUCUUGUCCCUUAUCCCAUAUGAGGUGGGGGCUAGAAGGCGCUGUCUAUGAGGAAGCAGGCCCUCACCAGGCACCAAAUCUACUAGCGUCUUGAUCAUGGACUUCUUAGCCUCUGGAACCAUGAGAAGUAAAUUUCUGUC
Molecule: long non-coding RNA, 1824 nt
Filed under: Delphinapterus leucas (beluga whale)
Lineage: Eukaryota; Metazoa; Chordata; Mammalia; Artiodactyla; Monodontidae
Description: lncRNA (ENSDLEG00000006026.1)
Source: RNAcentral